UAUGUAGGGUCCGAGCGUUGUUCGGAAUUACUGGGCGUAAAGCGCGCGUAGGCGGCUUUGUAAGUUAGAGGUGAAAGCCCGGGGCUCAACUCCGGAACUGCCUUUAAGACUGCAUCGCUUGAAUCCGGGAGAGGUGAGUGGAAUUCCGAGUGUAGAGGUGAAAUUCGUAGAUAUUCGGAAGAACACCAGUGGCGAAGGCGGCUCACUGGACCGGUAUUGACGCUGAGGUGCGAAAGCGUGGGGAGCAAACAGG
RNAcentral lists this ribosomal RNA (253 nucleotides) under uncultured bacterium. Its description in RNAcentral is "partial 16S ribosomal RNA". It matches the Rfam family "Bacterial small subunit ribosomal RNA", at positions 524 to 776 of the family's 1533-position model. The record is from RNAcentral.